Molecule: long non-coding RNA, 1324 nt
Filed under: Rhinopithecus bieti (black snub-nosed monkey)
Lineage: Eukaryota; Metazoa; Chordata; Mammalia; Primates; Cercopithecidae
Description: lncRNA (ENSRBIG00000046529.1)
Source: RNAcentral
GCAGCUCCUGGUGCCAGUUUCCCAGGAGCAUGGCCAGGCCCCGGGUCUCUCCAUCACAGCUGUGACUCUGGCUUCUUCCGGGAAGUGAGGUGGGGUCACUCCCCAUGGAGCCGCCACCGCUGCUUCAAUGUUCUGUAGGCCUGCACGGCCUGUUCUCUCUCCUCCCCACAAUCCGCUGGUGGGCCAGGGAGGCAGUCAGAGGCACCUCCCUGGCCCCAGGAAGGGAAUAUCAUUUGGACUCACCAGAUCAUGGUAAUUCCAUUACCCUUGCCAGCAACUGUGGAGACAUGACUAUUAUAGCCAGUGGGAUUUAAUGGGAUAUCCUCUGGGCGCCUCUGGGAGAGUCGUUCCUCCUGAAUAAAAAGACACAUGGGCCAGGCACAGUGGCUCAUGCCUGUAUUUCCAGCACUUUGGGAGUCCAAGGCAGGUGGAACACUUGAGGUCAGGGGUUCGAGACCAACCUGGCCAACGUGGUGAAACCCCAUCUCUACUAAAAAUACAAAAAUUAGCUGGGCAUGGUGGCACAUGCCUGUAAUCCCAGCUACUUGGAAGGCUGAGGCAGGAGAAUUGCUUGAACCUGGGAGGUGGAGGUUGCAGUGAGUCAAUAUUGUGUCAUUGCACUCCAGCCUGGGUUACAUAACAAGACUCUGUCUCAAAAAAAAAAAAAAAAAAAACAACCACAAGGAAGAAAACCCCAUCUCUUCUUCAGACUGAUGUUUCUGGGUUCACAUGUGAUACCUGGAACAGUGGCAGCCUUCAGCCUUUCUGGAAUAAUGAAGAGGCAAGCCCAAGAACAAAGCCAACAUGAUGAGGAUGGCAGGACAGAAAGACAGAGAGAGGCUAAUCCUUAUUGAAGUCAGUCAUUGGCUGAGCUACCCAUGGAUACUGCCUUCAGACUUGCUUUGAUACCUUACUGCCUAAACUACAUUCAGGAAAAUGCCUGGUUGAAGCCAGCUUGCAAUUCCAAAGUCAGAAGGUUGCCUGGGAAGCCAUGAAACAAAGCCAAAUCAAGGCAAAGCAGACACAUGGAGAUUUUGAGACUGAGAAGAGGGAAACUGAGGACAUUCAUGUGAGAUGGUUUCAAGUUUCCCUUAGAAGGAGAAGUUAUCUUCAGAAGGUCAGGUUGGUGAGGUGGAUGUUCAAAAACAACAAAGUAUGUAGCUACCAUUGUGAGGAAGACCAUGGAAAAUGGACAAAUCAGAAUGAGAGGCUUUCUGAACAAGACCUAGAGACAGAAGCAGAUAAUGCAUGUGUCAUCUACAUCUGGCAAAAGCCAAAGGUUUGGAAGAUGGACAAAGGAAUCCAGGCGAAAAGGAGCCCAUGA